This is a long non-coding RNA of Dendrobium catenatum, 252 nucleotides long. RefSeq lists it as uncharacterized. The transcript has 3 exons. The record is from RefSeq and is a predicted model, not a curated record. Lineage: Eukaryota; Viridiplantae; Streptophyta; Magnoliopsida; Asparagales; Orchidaceae.
UUUGUAUUAAAACGUUGCUUUAAGAAGCAGUCAGAAAGCCGUCCCAAACGAAGCCUAAGACAGUAAGAAACUAGUCCCAAACGAAGCCUAAGACAGACUCUUAAUUUGGCCUGCAGGGAUGAAGUGAUUUCAUAUAAAAAUUUUGCAUCCCCUUUCUAGAUAACAACAGAUAUCAUUAAUGGACAACUCUCGUGUUUUAAAAUGCUUGAGAAAAUUAUAUUAGAAUGAUUGGGAAGAAAGAACACUAUAUAU